RNAcentral lists this ribosomal RNA (248 nucleotides) under uncultured bacterium. Its description in RNAcentral is "partial 16S ribosomal RNA". It matches the Rfam family "Bacterial small subunit ribosomal RNA", at positions 57 to 305 of the family's 1533-position model. The record is from RNAcentral.
GCAAGUCGACUGGAAUUCUUCAUCGGAAGAUAGUACGGUGGCGGACGGGUGAGUAACGCGUAAAGAAUUUGCCCUUCAGACUGGGACAACUAACCGAAAGGUUAGCUAAUACCGGAUAUUAUGAGACCUUGGCAUCAAGGACUUAUGAAAGCUAUAUGCGCUGGAGGAGAACUUUGCGUUCCAUUAGCUAGUUGGUAGGGUGAAAGCCUACCGUGGCAAUGAUGGGUAGCCGGCCUGAGAGGGUGAUC